UUUUUUUACAUCCAUUCCACUUGCUGUCACCCUUUUAGAGAAUGGGAUUUACAUGUGUGGUACCAUACGAAAGAAUCGUAGGCAGUUUCCAGAAGAGCUGAAGAACCUUCCUAUCAGAUUGGAGCAAGGACAGUAUGUUGGACGACAGUGUCGGAACUUAGUGGCAGUUGUGUGGAUAGAUAAAAAACAUGUCUCCCUGUUGUCAACAAAUCAGUCUAUAGAAUAUGUACAUUUACGUUCCAUAUUCUGUGUACAUGUAUUUGUGCACUUAAAAAAAAAUUAUUAUAAUAACAGUUAUUGAAUUUUACAGGAACCUUUCCCUCUUUUUUACAUUGUAUUAACACAAUCUAGCCAAAAUAAGACUUGGUAUAAAAAGCACAAAACAAUGUUUUGACAUUAACAUUUAAUUUGUGAAAACUUUGUUAUAUACAUGUAAAUAAGAUAUGAUAUACUGGUAUGAGUACAAUGAGACAACUAUUCAUCCAAGUGACACAAUGUUGAAGGUUAAAGGUUAUACUCAUAUAUGAAGCCGCAUGCUUCAAACAAAAUUUUAAGGUACGCAAACAAGUUUAAACUCCCAACUGAAAUCCAAAUUUACAUAAAAUACAUGUAUAGAUGAGAUAUCUACAGCACAUAAACAUGUACUUACAUAAUGUAUUAAUUGAUGUAUACUCUUUGUUUUAGAGUGACAUUACUGAAAGGAGACAACAAGAUGGUACUAUGAAACAGAUCACCAGACCACGGAUUAUCACGA
This 754-nucleotide long non-coding RNA is filed under the name Mytilus galloprovincialis (Mediterranean mussel). Lineage: Eukaryota; Metazoa; Mollusca; Bivalvia; Mytilida; Mytilidae. The record is from RNAcentral.